CAGCAGCCGCGGGAAUACGGAGGGUGCAAGCGUUAAUCGGAAUUACUGGGCGUAAAGCGCACGUAGGCGGUGUGUUAAGUUGGAUGUGAAAGCCCCGGGCUCAACCUGGGAAUUGCAUUCAAAACUGGCACGCUAGAGUAUGUGAGAGGGGGGUAGAAUUCCAAGUGUAGCGGUGAAAUGCGUAGAGAUUUGGAGGAAUACGAGUGGCGAAGGCGGCCCCCUGGCACAAUACUGACGCUCAGGUGCGAAAGCGUGGGGAGCAAACAGGAUUAGAUACCCCAGUAGUCCCUGUCUCUUAUAC
RNAcentral lists this ribosomal RNA (301 nucleotides) under uncultured bacterium. RNAcentral's name for it is "partial 16S ribosomal RNA". It matches the Rfam family "Bacterial small subunit ribosomal RNA", at positions 509 to 807 of the family's 1533-position model. The record is from RNAcentral.